UCAAUGCAAAGAAAAAUAUUAAAAAAGGUAGAAUAGAAGAGCAAGUUUUUGAUAAUCCUAUGCAAAUAGAAGGAAGUGAACAAAGAGAAAACAAUAGCGAUGAAAGUGUAGUUGAAGAAAACAUUAACUAUGAAACCAACACUCAUACAAAAGGAAGAAAAAAGGGAGAUACUAAGGAAGUACUGCUAAUAAAAACACAAGAAGAAGCAAAACAUUAUGAGGAGAGACUUCGACAACAAAGUGUAAGACGGUCAAAUAGAAAUAAACAACCAGUAGAAAAAUACCAAGCAAUGACAUGUGAAAAUAUUCUAAAAAA
Molecule: long non-coding RNA, 316 nt
Filed under: Androctonus crassicauda
Lineage: Eukaryota; Metazoa; Arthropoda; Arachnida; Scorpiones; Buthidae
Source: RNAcentral